Gasterosteus aculeatus aculeatus (three-spined stickleback) is the source of this 1689-nucleotide long non-coding RNA. NCBI's taxonomy places the organism in Eukaryota, Metazoa, Chordata, Actinopteri, Perciformes, Gasterosteidae. The record is from Ensembl.
GCUUGGAUGUAUUUUCUUCCCAAAAUGUUAUAUUAUUAUUUUCAGGCCAGAACAAAACUCAAAAAAACAUUUGAUGGGCAAAAUACAACCAAGAAAUCUUUAAUCUAUAAUUACAAAGUGUCCAGCAAACUAAAUGGGUUUGGUGUAACAACUAAUUAAAUUGUGUUAUGGCUUAUUAAGACAUUAUAGAAAAGUAAGACACUGCAGUUUUUGUUUUUUUCUACUUGUUGUGAGGAGUUGGAUUAAUGACUCAUGUCGUUUUCGUCCCAAUGUGUACUUCAUUAUACAUAGUACAUAUAGUAAACCGUGUAUUCAGUAUAUCAAAUGGAGUUUGUUAGCAAGUUAAAUGUUGUAGUAAGAAUAUCAGUUCAUCCAAAUUGUUGCAGAAUACUGUUGUUGACCUUUUAUAUAGUAUCCAAAAUGGCCCGCAGAUAUCACCCUCUCACCACUAGGGGCGAUGUUUGUGCAUUUUAUUCACGCUUCUUUGUCCAGAUUCUCAGAAGAAGAACAGUUGGAGAAGAGUUUAACGCAGAUAACAAAAACUAAUUCAAACAUUAUUCAAAAUGAGAAUUGUGCUAAAAACGCACACCUUGUUCAAGGAAAUCAUUCACCCUUCUUUGCAAAGACAAGCGAUGUAUAUACUCUUGUUCUAGAAGAAAAUUGUUAAUUGUUAUGCUAUUAGCAUUAGCCUAGCAAGCCAAAUGAUUAGUUAAAUUGACUAUGAUGAAUAAAGCCGGUGUAUUUAGGAAUAGACAAGUUUCCUGAGUGAAAUAGGCGGGCCGCCAUUGGCCUUUCACUCUGCCAACGACUUCCGGUUGUGUCUGCAAAGCACUUCCGGAUAGCGAGUUAGCGUCUCUUACGGUCUUUGGUUAGCGUGCAGAAAAAGUAAACUAUGGAUGGUGUUACACGCUGACACGGCUCCGUGACAUAUUGUGCUGUUCACGGUUGCAACAACUCGUGGCGAUUGCUGAAUGUUUGGUCGGAAGGAGAGUGUUUCGACCAUCUACAAAUGAGUAAAAUGCUAUAGAUUUGCACUCAAAUACGGAAGGCUUAUCAUUCGCGGAAGUCAACACAGUCUACUAAUUAUUACGCAGAUGAAUGUCAGCUUUUUCAUUGAAAAAAAAAAGUAAGUUAAUACCUUUAUCCAUUCCGAAGCUAUUAAUAGAUAUGUCAAGGGUGCGCACUUUGACGCUCGUCAGUCGACUUUGAAGGGUUAAAGCAUGCUUUUAGUGCAGGCAGGCUAGAGGGGAUUGCUUUUUCUUUUUAUUACUCUUCGUGUUCUGUUAUAUGUUAACACACGGAUACAUACAAACAUCUUAAUACAAGCAUAAGAUGGGCUAACGUACCUUCCAAAGUACGGCGGCUGCAUGGCUACAGGUACAGCCUGCAGUCUCCACAUCUCCCAUCUUGGUAACCAAAACCCAGGCGUUAUGCGCUGAAUUGUUAACGGACUGGCUUGGUUGAACAUCGGCCUUUAUAUGCCCAUAUCGUGUAAAAGUACACAGCCCACUUUGUCGGAAUGGAGGUACUGAAACGCCUUUGAGCUUUUCAGGUUAUUAAUUGCAUUCCCAUCCACCGCCAUGGAAUAAAUAAAAUAAGAAAAGAUCUUGGAUGUUGUGAUGCUGGGCCAUAUCGACAUGUUGUCCGCCCAUGAUGUUACCAUACUUGGAUGCGGAAUGGUCAAAACAC